RNAcentral lists this ribosomal RNA (497 nucleotides) under uncultured bacterium. RNAcentral describes it as "bacterial SSU rRNA". It matches the Rfam family "Bacterial small subunit ribosomal RNA", at positions 29 to 523 of the family's 1533-position model. The record is from RNAcentral.
AUUGAACGCUGGCGGCAUGCCUUACACAUGCAAGUCGAACGGUAACGCGGGGCAACCUGGCGACGAGUGGCGAACGGGUGAGUAAUGCAUCGGAACGUGCCCAGUAGUGGGGGAUAGCCCGGCGAAAGCCGGAUUAAUACCGCAUACGACCUACGGGUGAAAGCGGGGGACCGCAAGGCCUCGCGCUAUUGGAGCGGCCGAUGUCAGAUUAGGUAGUUGGUGGGGUAAAGGCCUACCAAGCCUGCGAUCUGUAGCUGGUCUGAGAGGACGACCAGCCACACUGGGACUGAGACGCGGCCCAGACUCCUACGGGAGGCAGCAGUGGGGAAUUUUGGACAAUGGGGGCAACCCUGAUCCAGCCAUGCCGCGUGCGGGAAGAAGGCCUUCGGGUUGUAACCGCUUUGUCAGGGAAGAAAUCUCCUGGGCGUAAUACCUCGGGGGAGUGACGGUACCUGGAGAAUAAGCACCGGCUAACUACGUGCCAGCAGCCGCGGUAA